AUUGCUCCAUUCCAUCGAUACGACGCAGAAGACUUUGUUACCUUAUCUUGUAAAGCGGUUAAUAGUUAUUAGUAAUACACAUGUCAUCAUUUGUUUUAGUCUUGCAAACGAUCCAACCCGACGUGUCGUAUUGUUGGUUCUGGUUGGUUGAUUUUUCCUUUUAUUAUGCAUCGUUUGUGUCGUAAAAUACCAUUCUUCUCUACUCCGUUACAGAGUAUUACAAGGCUUUGGAACAAAGACAAAUGUAACCUAUUUGUAUUAUUCCCUUUCCCUUUACUACACGUGUGCAAGAGCUUUCCUACGUAACUGGUGAAAGACUAAUUCGGAUAGAAACAUUCACUAACUCUUUUUGCGUCUUUCACUCACUCACUCACACACCAUUUCGAUGUUGACGCUUGUGCUGUUGUAUACAUGCGUGGCUGCGCCACACGUAUUACGUUGCCCGUUCAGGUCAACUGUUUACUGGUCGAAGAUGUUAUCAGCCACAUCUUCAUUCUAAAGCUGUUGCAAACAUCAUUCGAACAAAAUAAAAAAAAAAAAACAAAUACACAUUUUGUAUCGAAGCAUACCAAGGUGCAGUUUACCGUAAAAUCAAACAAGCGCAGUUAAAAUUAGUGACACUCAGCUUUGGUGGUGAACGCUACUAUGGAACAGACCUAUCUAGUAUUUUCAUCAUAAACUAGUCUAGAUGUUAUCGAUUUACAAAGCAGUUACAUUUAUAAAGAAAAGGAACCCUUAAAGCGUACAGUGCCUUUCCAGACAACGCUAAUUCCUCUACCUGUAUGAAUCUUCUACGAGACCGUGCCGGCUCGCUUCAGACAACCGUAGAGCAAUAGGUGUCUAGCAGCACAAUUCUUCCUCCUAUGUGGUAGCGGAAGCAGAAUAAAGCACGUAAGCUUUUCACUUAGUUGGUUGUUUGCGAAUUUAACCUGCCGUUCUGUUGGAGUUUGCUAACAUUUUUUAAUCACGAAAAAAUAUGUUUCUUCCUCGAAAGUCGCUUUACAUUGUUGCAGCUGGUCUCAUCAACGCUAUACACUAUUUGCUCACAAAUAUUGCUUGAUGAGUGCUUACGGGGAAAAGCGGGGAAUUUGAAAAAGUUUGUCAACGCGUCAACGGGAACAUGUGUACAUGUUUGUGAAGCUAAUGAACCACAGCGAAGGUACGGUGGAUAGAGAGAACAUUUCUAUUGCUUCCGGUGCUUCUCAAGAUUCUAAUCCUCGCUUAAAAUUUGUAUUGCUUUCGUAACGCAAUUUGGACGGCGUUCAAGUAUCUUCGUGACAUAUCCAUGUAUGUCGCAUUCUGUGACACCCGAAAGGACAAUUGAUUACAUUCCUUUCCUUACCUCUUCGCUAUGCGACUUCCGACCGGAUCGAGAGAUGAUGUUUUUUUGGAUGGAUUCACACCUACUGGACACGUCUACGGAUAUCUAUUACCGAUAACAAAAAUCCAAGUAGAAACAAACAACCGACAAAAAGCGCAAAUGGUCAACGCAAAUCAGGCAACGCAACAUCAUUUAAUGGAGUAAAAGUACCAAAUCGAAAAGAUUGUCUCUUUGCUUCAUGUUAUUAAUUUUUUUUU
This is a long non-coding RNA of Anopheles funestus (African malaria mosquito), 1578 nucleotides long. RefSeq lists it as uncharacterized. Lineage: Eukaryota; Metazoa; Arthropoda; Insecta; Diptera; Culicidae. The record is from RefSeq and is a predicted model, not a curated record. The transcript is spliced from 3 exons.